CUUCCUAUUAUCCUUUAUCUCUUUUGCAAGCUUCAUCUCUAGGUAGGGUUUAGCCUUCCUUGUCACGUCCCUGCAGGUCCUGACAACAUGUCUAUACUCCUCCCAAGAGGACAGGCCCUUUUCCCUCAU
This is a long non-coding RNA of Oxyura jamaicensis (ruddy duck), 129 nucleotides long. RefSeq lists it as uncharacterized. The transcript has 3 exons. NCBI's taxonomy places the organism in Eukaryota, Metazoa, Chordata, Aves, Anseriformes, Anatidae. The record is from RefSeq and is a predicted model, not a curated record.